UCAAGUUAUUAAGGGUGCAGGGCGGAUGCCUUGGCACUAGGAGCCGAUGAAGGACGUGAUAAGCUGCGAUAAGCUUCGGGGAGUUGCACGUAAACUUUGAUCCGAAGAUUUCCGAAUGAGGAAACUCACUUAGAGUAAUGUCUAAGUAUCAUUAAGUGAAUACAUAGCUUAAUGAGGGGAACUCAGGGAACUGAAACAUCUAAGUACCUGAAGGAAGAGAAAGAAAUUCGAUUCCGUAAGUAGCGGCGAGCGAACGCGGAUUAGCCCAAACCAAUAAAGUUUUCUUUAUUGGGGUUGCGGACAUAUUAUAACGAAGAGGUAUCGUAAUUGAAGAGGUUUGGAAAGACCCACCACAGAAGGUAAUAGUCCUGUAUGUUAAACGAGAAGACUUCAGAUAUGAUCCAGAGUACCACGGGACACGUGAAACCCUGUGGGAAGCAGGAGGGACCACCCUCCAAGGCUAAAUACUACCUAGUGACCGAUAGCGUAUAGUACCGUGAGGGAAAGGUGAAAAGAACCCCGGGAGGGGAGUGAAAUAGAACCUGAAACCCUGCACUUACAAGCUGUGGAAGCACAUUUCUUGUGUGACCGCGUACUUUUUGUAGAACGGGCCAACGAGUUACGUUAAGUAGCAAGGUUAAGCACUUAAGGUGCGGAGCCGUAGCGAAAGCGAGUUUUAACUGAGCGUUCAGUUACUUGACGUAGACCCGAAACCGGGCGACCUACCCAUGAGCAGGAUGAAGCGAAAGUAAAAUUUCGUGGAGGUCCGAACCCACGAGCGUUGAAAAGCUCGGGGAUGACUUGUGGGUAGCGGUGAAAUUCCAAUCGAGCCCGGAGAUAGCUGGUUCUCCCCGAAAUAGCUUUAGGGCUAGCCUCAAGGUGAGAGAUACGGAGGUAGAGCACUGAAUGUCCUAGGGGGUAUUGCACCUACCGAAGACUAUCAAACUCCGAAUGCCGUCAUCUUAUACUUGGGAGUCAGACUGUGGGUGAUAAGAUUCAUAGUCGAAAGGGCAACAGCCCAGAUCGUCAGCUAAGGUCCCUAAAUGUAAGUUAAGUGGUAAAGGAUGUGGGAUUGCACAGACAACCAGGAUGUUGGCUUAGAAGCAGCCACUCAUUCAAAGAGUGCGUAAUAGCUCACUGGUCGAGUGAUCCUGCGCCGAAGAUUUCCGGGGCUAAAACUUACUACCGAAGCUACGGCAUCAGUAAUGAUGGGUAGGGGAGCUUCCCAUACGGGUUGAAGCAUGACCGUAAGGACAUGUGGACAGUAUGGGAGUGAGAAUGUUGGCAUGAGUAGCGAGAUGUGGGUGAGAAUCCCACAGGCCGUAAACCCAAGGUUUCCAGGGGAAGGUUCGUCCGCCCUGGGUUAGUCGGGACCUAAGCUGAGGCCGAAAGGCGUAGGUGAUGGACAACAGGUUGAUAUUCCUGUACUACCGAUAACCGUUUGAGAGAAGGGAUGACACAGUAGGAUAAGCUAAGCACACUGUUGGUUAUGUGUGCCCAAGCAUUGAGGCAGUCAAAGUAGGCAAAUCCGCUUUGAUAAUGCUGGGAUGUGAUGGGGAGCGAAAUUUAGUAGCGAAGUAGCUGAUUUCACACUGUCAAGAAAAGUCUCUAUCGAGGUUAAAGGUACCCGUACCGCAAACCGACACAGGUGGGUGAGGAGAGUAUCCUAAGGCCAGCGAGAGAACUGUUGUUAAGGAACUCGGCAAAAUGACCCCGUAACUUAGGGAUAAGGGGUGCCACCAUCAGGUGGCCGCAGAGAAUAGGCCCAAGCGACUGUUUACCAAAAACAUAGGUUUCUGCUAAGUCGCAAGACGAUGUAUAGGAGCUGACGCCUGCCCGGUGCUGGAAGGUUAAGGGGAUCUGUUAGAGCAAUCGAAGCAGUGAACUUAAGCCCCAGUAAACGGCGGCCGUAACUAUAACGGUCCUAAGGUAGCGAAAUUCCUUGUCGGGUAAGUUCCGACCCGCACGAAAGGCGUAACGAUUUGGGCACUGUCUCAACAACAGACUCGGUGAAAUUGUAAUUCCGGUGAAGAUGCCGGAUACCUGCGACAGGACGGAAAGACCCCAUGGAGCUUUACUGUAGCUUGACAUUGGGUCUUGGUACUACAUGUACAGGAUAGGUGGGAGGCUUUGAAACCAGGACGCCAGUUUUGGCGGAGCCAUCCUUGGGAUACCACCCUUGUAGUACUGGGACUCUAACCAUAGGCCAUGAAUCUGGUCUUGGGACACUGUCAGGUGGGCAGUUUGACUGGGGCGGUCGCCUCCCAAAAGGUAACGGAGGCGCUCAAAGGUUCUCUCAGUACGGUCGGAAAUCGUACGUAGAGUGUAAAGGCAAAAGAGAGCUUGAUUGCAAGACAUACAGGUCGAGCAAGGAUGAAAAUCGGACUUAGUGAUCCGGUGGUUCUGCGUGGAAGGGCCAUCGCUCAACGGAUAAAAGCUACCCUGGGGAUAACAGGCUUAUCUCCCCCAAGAGUCCACAUCGACGGGGAGGUUUGGCACCUCGAUGUCGGCUCAUCACAUCCUGGGGCUGUAGUAGGUCCCAAGGGUUGGGCUGUUCGCCCAUUAAAGUGGUACGCGAGCUGGGUUCAGAACGUCGUGAGACAGUUCGGUCCCUAUCCGUCGCAGGCGUAGGAAAUUUGAGAAGACCUGUCCUUAGUACGAGAGGACCGGGAUGGACGUACCUCUGGUGUACCAGUUGUUCUGCCAAGGGCAUGGCUGGGUAGCUAUGUACGGAAUGGAUAAGCGCUGAAAGCAUCUAAGCGCGAAGCCAACUUCAAGAUAAGAUUUCCCACCGCAAGGGUAAGACCCCAGAAAGACUAUCUGGUUGAUAGGUCGAAGGUGUAAGUGCAGCAAUGUAUUUAGCUUAUCGAUACUAAUAGGUCGAGGACUUGACCAA
This 2896-nucleotide ribosomal RNA is filed under the name Clostridioides difficile. Its description in RNAcentral is "bacterial LSU rRNA". It matches the Rfam family "Bacterial large subunit ribosomal RNA". The record is from RNAcentral. Lineage: Bacteria; Bacillati; Bacillota; Clostridia; Peptostreptococcales; Peptostreptococcaceae.